AUGGCCUCUUCUCCCACCACCAACCUCACCCCCUGUGAUCCCUCGACAGCCACCAACGCCCCCACCCCUCCCCUCCGUCCUAGCUCCCCUGCAGAUCCAGAUCCAGUGCUGCUGGCUGCCGGUGCUGAGAAUGGAGAUGGGGACUCUCUCGCGCGCUCCGCAGAUUGCCCUGGGAUCCUCCCUCCGCUCAAGCUGCCACCACCUCCAGAUCGGCUUCCUCCGAAUUUCACGCCGCUGGUAGUGACCGAUGCUUCACAGGCACCAACGGAGAAGGGGUGGGUGGAGGUUGAGGGCCAGCAUCGCCGGAGGCUGGAGAAGCUGUCUGCCCCGCCCCGCAAGAAGGACACUGACCGCUCCCUUGCUUUCAAGCGGAGAGCUUAUGGGCUCUGGUUCCGUUGCUUGGCGGAGGACCACUUCGUCGCCGACUGUCGUGGGCCUGUCACCUGCCUGGGUUGCGGCCGCUCUGGGCAUCGUGAGCGCGGCUGUCCGGGCCGCCUCCCUACCGGCAAUGGUCAUCUCCGCGGCUCCCUAUCGCCGCCGGCUGCUACUCGCUUCCAACACCCGUCCCCAGCUCCUUCACCGCAGUUGCGGCAGCGCUCGUGGGCAGCAGUUGUUGCCGCCCCGACUGGGCUCGUUCAAGGGGCCCCUUGUAGCAACUCCGGCACCCCCUGGUCGGGUCAGUCCGGCCCUGACGAGUCGGCCUUGGCUGUUGAUCUGGGGCUGCUGCAACCCCUCUUUGCAGCUCAGACCGAGGCGUUGCGCGCCGAGUUGCAGGCUCUGGUUACCGCUCGUGUGGAGGAUGUCGUUCAACCCCUCCGUGACAUGGCGGUUGCUCUGCACGGUUGGGCGGCCCAGGUCUCGAACCUCUUGGAGCGGCUGGAGGCUAUCAGUGGCAAAGUAGUGGGGAACAGUGGGGGAUCUUCCUCCUUGGCGCCUUUGGGUUCGCCUCCUCCCUGGUGCGAGCAUGAGGAGCCACCGGCGCCUCUUGUUGUUGCCUAUGGCAAGGAUGUCAGUCAGGCGGGAGUGGCCGGGUGCUCGUCUGAGGUGCUGGCAACUGUGGCGCUGCCUGCAGAUGUUCUUCCUACGUUGGAUGUCGUUCUGCACAAGACGGUGAUUCUAGGAGAGGAGGAGCAAGCUAAGGUGGCUGAGAUAGUCAUAGCGAGCAAUGAUAUGGAGCAGAUUGAGGUGGCCUUGCCUGAUGGUUUGGUUGGAGAGGUGCCUCCCUUCGUCCCCUCUUCAGUGAAGCUUGCUUCAGGGGGCACUACCAAUAUGAUGUCUUCUGGGUCCGAGGAACCACUUGGUGAUAUUGGCGUGCCAUCAACUACCUUGUUGGAUGAGUUCCUAAACAGUUUCAGUUGCGCAGCACCGCGGUCCUUGCUCAAGGAACCAAUUCAUGUGCAGAUUGAAGGGGCAUCUUCUUGUUCCGAGAGGUGUAGUGGACGUUUGGAUAAGAAGAAUAGAAACAACAACAUUCCUACUGCCAAACGCGUUGAAUAUAGGUUGGCGGAGGCUUAUGGGGAACUACCGAAGGGGAUGAAAUCUAAGAAAGGCUCCGAAGAGGAUGUGCAAGAGAAGAUGAACUCUUAUCUACGGAUGUACAAGAAACCCCUACGCCGACAGCGACCCAGGCAAUUCGUGCAUUGGUGGAGGCCAAUGGUUGAUCUCAUUUUUCAAAAGGUUAGGUGCGAGUUCACAUCGAGUUGCAGGCAUGUUCUUCAGGUUGCAGUGGUUGUCUUGGUCGGGUAUGUUGUGUUGACCAUGGUCUUGGGCCUUAGCACCCUUGUAUCUGGCUCGGACGACGUCCCUUGA
Molecule: ribosomal RNA, 1809 nt
Filed under: Triticum aestivum (bread wheat)
Lineage: Eukaryota; Viridiplantae; Streptophyta; Magnoliopsida; Poales; Poaceae
Description: partial small subunit ribosomal RNA
Source: RNAcentral